AUUGAACGCUGGCGGCAGGCCUAUCACAUGCAAGUCGAGCGGAUGAAGGGAGCUUGCUCCUGGAUUCAGCGGCGGACGGGUGAGUAAUGCCUAGGAAUCUGCCUGGUAGUGGGGGAUAACGUCCGGAAACGGGCGCUAAUACCGCAUACGUCCUGAGGGAGAAAGUGGGGGAUCUUCGGACCUCACGCUAUCAGAUGAGCCUAGGUCGGAUUAGCUAGUUGGUGGGGUAAAGGCCUACCAAGGCGACGAUCCGUAACUGGUCUGAGAGGAUGAUCAGUCACACUGGAACUGAGACACGGUCCAGACUCCUACGGGAGGCGGCAGUGGGGAAUAUUGGACAAUGGGCGAAAGCCUGAUCCAGCCAUGCCGCGUGUGUGAAGAAGGUCUUCGGAUUGUAAAGCACUUUAAGUUGGGAGGAAGGGCAGUAAGUUAAUACCUUGCUGUUUUGACGUUACCAACAGAAUAAGCACCGGCUAACUUCGUG
This 484-nucleotide ribosomal RNA is filed under the name uncultured bacterium. RNAcentral's name for it is "partial 16S ribosomal RNA". It matches the Rfam family "Bacterial small subunit ribosomal RNA", at positions 30 to 507 of the family's 1533-position model. The record is from RNAcentral.